GUCAGUAUGGCCGAGUGGUUAAGGCGACAGACUCGAAAUCUGUUGAGAUUUGCCUGGCAGCGGUUCGAAUCCGCUUACUGACGCCA
This 86-nucleotide transfer RNA is filed under the name Lupinus luteus (yellow lupine). RNAcentral describes it as "tdbR00000414". It matches the Rfam family "tRNA". From Rfam's summary of the family: Transfer RNA (tRNA) molecules are approximately 80 nucleotides in length. Their secondary structure includes four short double-helical elements and three loops (D, anti-codon, and T loops). Further hydrogen bonds mediate the characteristic L-shaped molecular structure. tRNAs have two regions of fundamental functional importance: the anti-codon, which is responsible for specific mRNA codon recognition, and the 3' end, to which the tRNAs corresponding amino acid is attached (by aminoacyl-tRNA synthetases). tRNAs cope with the degeneracy of the genetic code in two manners: having more than one tRNA (with a specific anti-codon) for a particular amino acid; and 'wobble' base-pairing, i.e. permitting non-standard base-pairing at the 3rd anti-codon position. Lineage: Eukaryota; Viridiplantae; Streptophyta; Magnoliopsida; Fabales; Fabaceae. The record is from RNAcentral.